UACGAAGGGUGCAAGCGUUACUCGGAAUUACUGGGCGUAAAGCGUGCGUAGGCGGCUUUGCAAGUCCCAUGUGAAAUCCCACGGCUCAACCGUGGAAGUGCAUGGGAAACUGCAGAGCUUGAGUACUUAAGAGGAUCGCGGAAUUCCCGGUGUAGAGGUGAAAUUCGUAGAUAUCGGGAGGAACACCAGUGGCGAAGGCGGCGAUCUGGGAAGAUACUGACGCUGAGGUGCGAAAGCGUGGGGAGCAAACAGG
This 253-nucleotide ribosomal RNA is filed under the name uncultured bacterium. Its description in RNAcentral is "partial 16S ribosomal RNA". It matches the Rfam family "Bacterial small subunit ribosomal RNA", at positions 524 to 776 of the family's 1533-position model. The record is from RNAcentral.